AAAGACUCAAUUCCUGAGUUUCCGUAUCCAACGUUUAACCGUCCGUCCUAUUUAAAAAAAUAUGAAAAAAUUUAAAAAGAUAAGUCACACAUAAAGUAUUAUUUAUGUUUUAUCAUCUAACAACAAUGAAAAUAUUAAUUAUAAAAAAAUUCAUAUAAGACGGAUAGUCAAACGUUGGACACGGAAACCUAUGAAUUGAGUCUUU
Oryza barthii is the source of this 205-nucleotide non-coding RNA. The record is from Rfam. Lineage: Eukaryota; Viridiplantae; Streptophyta; Magnoliopsida; Poales; Poaceae.